RNAcentral lists this ribosomal RNA (274 nucleotides) under uncultured bacterium. RNAcentral's name for it is "partial 16S ribosomal RNA". It matches the Rfam family "Bacterial small subunit ribosomal RNA", at positions 523 to 796 of the family's 1533-position model. The record is from RNAcentral.
AUACGGAGGGAGCGAGCGUUAAUCGGAAUUACUGGGCGUAAAGCGCGCGUAGGCGGCUUUGUAAGUCGGAUGUGAAAGCCCUGGGCUCAACCUGGGAAUGGCAUUCGAUACUGCAGAGCUAGAGUAUGGUAGAGGGAAGUGGAAUUUCCGGUGUAGCGGUGAAAUGCGUAGAUAUCGGAAGGAACACCAGUGGCGAAGGCGACUUCCUGGGCCAAUACUGACGCUGAGGUGCGAAAGCGUGGGGAGCAAACAGGAUUAGAAACCCCGGUAGUCC